UACAGAGGGGGCAAGCGUUGUUCGGAAUUACUGGGCGUAAAGGGCGCGUAGGCGGCCUUCUAAGUCAGACGUGAAAUCCCUCGGCUCAACCGGGGAACUGCGUCUGAUACUGGGAGGCUUGAAUCCGGGAGAGGAAUGCGGAAUUCCAGGUGUAGCGGUGAAAUGCGUAGAUAUCUGGAGGAACACCGGUGGCGAAGGCGGCGUUCUGGACCGGCAUUGACGCUGAGGCGCGAAAGCCAGGGGAGCAAACGGG
Molecule: ribosomal RNA, 253 nt
Filed under: uncultured bacterium
Lineage: Bacteria
Description: partial 16S ribosomal RNA
Rfam family: Bacterial small subunit ribosomal RNA
Source: RNAcentral